UACGGAGGGUGCAAGCGUUAAUCGGAAUUACUGGGCGUAAAGCGCGCGUAGGCGGUUUGGUAAGCGGGAUGUGAAAGCCCCGGGCUUAACCUGGGAACGGCAUUUCGAACUGUCAGACUAGAGUGUGGUAGAGGGUAGUGGAAUUUCCUGUGUAGCGGUGAAAUGCGUAGAUAUAGGAAGGAACACCAGUGGCGAAGGCGACCACCUGGGCUAAUACUGACACUGAGGUGCGAAAGCGUGGGGAGCAAACAGG
RNAcentral lists this ribosomal RNA (253 nucleotides) under uncultured microorganism. Its description in RNAcentral is "partial 16S ribosomal RNA". It matches the Rfam family "Bacterial small subunit ribosomal RNA", at positions 524 to 776 of the family's 1533-position model. The record is from RNAcentral.